This 1369-nucleotide ribosomal RNA is filed under the name uncultured bacterium. RNAcentral describes it as "bacterial SSU rRNA". It matches the Rfam family "Bacterial small subunit ribosomal RNA", at positions 28 to 1381 of the family's 1533-position model. The record is from RNAcentral.
GACGAACGCUGGCGGCGUGCCUAAUACAUGCAAGUAGAACGCUGAAGAGAGGAGCUUGCUCUUCUUGGAUGAGUUGCGAACGGGUGAGUAACGCGUAGGUAACCUGCCUUGUAGCGGGGGAUAACUAUUGGAAACGAUAGCUAAUACCGCAUAACAAUGGAUGACACAUGUCAUUUAUUUGAAAGGGGCAAUUGUUCCACUACAAGAUGGACCUGCGUUGUAUUAGCUAGUAGGUGAGGUAAUGGCUCACCUAGGCGACGAUACAUAGCCGACCUGAGAGGGUGAUCGGCCACACUGGGACUGAGACACGGCCCAGACUCCUACGGGAGGCAGCAGUAGGGAAUCUUCGGCAAUGGGGGCAACCCUGACCGAGCAACGCCGCGUGAGUGAAGAAGGUUUUCGGAUCGUAAAGCUCUGUUGUAAGUCAAGAACGGGUGUGAGAGUGGAAAGUUCACACUGUGACGGUAGCUUACCAGAAAGGGACGGCUAACUACGUGCCAGCAGCCGCGGUAAUACGUAGGUCCCGAGCGUUGUCCGGAUUUAUUGGGCGUAAAGCGAGCGCAGGCGGUUUGAUAAGUCUGAAGUUAAAGGCUGUGGCUCAACCAUAGUUCGCUUUGGAAACUGUCAAACUUGAGUGCAGAAGGGGAGAGUGGAAUUCCAUGUGUAGCGGUGAAAUGCGUAGAUAUAUGGAGGAACACCGGUGGCGAAAGCGGCUCUCUGGUCUGUAACUGACGCUGAGGCUCGAAAGCGUGGGGAGCGAACAGGAUUAGAUACCCUGGUAGUCCACGCCGUAAACGAUGAGUGCUAGGUGUUGGGUCCUUUCCGGGAUUCAGUGCCGCAGCUAACGCAUUAAGCACUCCGCCUGGGGAGUACGACCGCAAGGUUGAAACUCAAAGGAAUUGACGGGGGCCCGCACAAGCGGUGGAGCAUGUGGUUUAAUUCGAAGCAACGCGAAGAACCUUACCAGGUCUUGACAUCCCGAUGCUAUUUCUAGAGAUAGAAAGUUACUUCGGUACAUCGGUGACAGGUGGUGCAUGGUUGUCGUCAGCUCGUGUCGUGAGAUGUUGGGUUAAGUCCCGCAACGAGCGCAACCCCUAUUGUUAGUUGCCAUCAUUCAGUUGGGCACUCUAGCGAGACUGCCGGUAAUAAACCGGAGGAAGGUGGGGAUGACGUCAAAUCAUCAUGCCCCUUAUGACCUGGGCUACACACGUGCUACAAUGGUUGGUACAACGAGUUGCGAGUCGGUGACGGCGAGCUAAUCUCUUAAAGCCAAUCUCAGUUCGGAUUGUAGGCUGCAACUCGCCUACAUGAAGUCGGAAUCGCUAGUAAUCGCGGAUCAGCACGCCGCGGUGAAUACGUUCCCGGGCCU